UGAUUUUUAUUUUUUCACAUUUUAUUUCAUUGAUUUUCUAUUUUUUUUCAUGAAUUUUCUCUUUUCUUCCUUGUUUUAAUUUGUUUAAAAAUACUUUUCUGCAUUUUAAAAUUCUGAAAAUUUUAUUUUAUGGUUCUCAUUUUAUUUCCAACCUUCCAUUAUUUUCAUUUUAAAAAUCAUUUUAAAAUACCUUUGAUGCAUUUUUAUUUUAUUUUAUUGCAUUUUAAAUUUGUAUGACCUUGUGGACUUCUGUGGCCUUGGAUCAUGAUAAUUU
Molecule: long non-coding RNA, 274 nt
Filed under: Lathyrus oleraceus (garden pea)
Lineage: Eukaryota; Viridiplantae; Streptophyta; Magnoliopsida; Fabales; Fabaceae
Description: Pisum sativum (pea) long non-coding RNA (PSAT_LNC030444)
Source: RNAcentral